GAUAAACGCUGACAGAAUGCUUAACACAUGCAAGUCGAUGAUGGGAGCUAGCUUGCUAGAAGAAGUCAUGGCGGACGGGUGAGUAACGUGUAAAGAACUUACCAUAUAGACUGGGAUAACAGAGGGAAACUUCUGAUAAUACUGGAUAAGUUAGUAGUAGCAUUACUAAGUAAUGAAAGGUAGCAAUACGCUAUAUGAGAGCUUUGCAUCCUAUUAGCUAGUUGGUGGGGUAAAAGCCUACCAAGGCGAUGAUAGGUAGCCGGCCUGAGAGGGUGGACAGCCACAAGGGGACUGAGAUACGGCCCUUACUCCUACGGGAGGCAGCAGUGGGGAAUAUUGGACAAUGGAGGCAACUCUGAUACAGCAAUUCUGUGUGGGUGAAGAAGGUUUUAGGACUGUAAAACACUUUUAGUAGGGAAGAAAGAAAUGACGGUACCUACAGAAGAAGCGACGGCUAAAUACGUGC
RNAcentral lists this ribosomal RNA (466 nucleotides) under uncultured bacterium. RNAcentral's name for it is "partial 16S ribosomal RNA". It matches the Rfam family "Bacterial small subunit ribosomal RNA", at positions 28 to 508 of the family's 1533-position model. The record is from RNAcentral.